UGGGGAAUUUUGGACAAUGGGCGAAAGCCUGAUCCAGCAAUGCCGCGUGUGUGAAGAAGGCCUUCGGGUUGUAAAGCACUUUUGUCCGGAAAGAAAUGGCUCUGGUUAAUACCUGGGGUCGAUGACGUUACCGGAAGAAUAAGGACCGGCUAACUACGUGCCAGCAGCCGCGGUAAUACGUAGGGUCCAAGCGUUAAUCGGAAUUACUGGGCGUAAAGCGUGCGCAGGCGGUUGUGCAAGACCGAUGUGAAAUCCCCGAGCUUAACUUGGGAAUUGCAUUGGUGACUGCACGGCUAGAGUGUGUCAGAGGGGGGUAGAAUUCCACGUGUAGCAGUGAAAUGCGUAGAGAUGUGGAGGAAUACCGAUGGCGAAGGCAGCCCCCUGGGAUAACACUGACGCUCAUGCACGAAAGCGUGGGGAGCAAACAGG
RNAcentral lists this ribosomal RNA (429 nucleotides) under Bacillota bacterium. Its description in RNAcentral is "Firmicutes bacterium partial 16S ribosomal RNA". It matches the Rfam family "Bacterial small subunit ribosomal RNA", at positions 355 to 776 of the family's 1533-position model. The record is from RNAcentral. Lineage: Bacteria; Bacillati; Bacillota.